AGGCGCACGCAUCCUAUGAUCCCGAGAUGUCCGAAUGAGAAUCUUACACUUUUGUGUAUUCCAGUGCACUAGUAUUGGAAGUCGAACCGUGGGAAUUGAAGCAUCUUAGUACCACGAGGAAAAGAAAUCAAUUGAGAUUUCCCAAGUAGAGGCGAUCGAAACGGAAAGAGCCCAAACUGAAUCUGCUAUGGUAACAUAGUAGAGAUGUGGUGUUUUGGUGUGAUAUUACGAUCCUAGAACAUAGCUGAAGUGUCCUGAAAUGUUCUGGCAAAGAGGGUGAUACCCCCUUAGGCGAAGUGGUAUAGGAUCUUAUCAUUACCCGAGUAGCUGUCCUUGGUAGUGGGCAGUGAAUAUUGGUGAAAGUAGCAUCAGAGGCUAAAUAUUUCUCAAGACCGAUAGUGAACUAGUACCGUGAGGGAAAGCUGAAAAGUACCCCGGAAGGGGGGUGAAAAGUGCAUGAAACCUAUUGCUUACAGACGUGCAUGGCAUGAAAGGUGAUUUUUUCAGAUUGGAGGUUCUAGCAAUAGAGCUAAAGAUUUGAAGCUCAAAUCAUCAGUGUCAUGCGUUCCGUCUCGAAACACGGGCCAGGGAGCUUGCUGUCAUGGCGAGACUAAACCUAGAAAGGUGGAGUCGAAGGGAAACCGAAUUCUCGCAGCAUUGUGAGGAGAAGCGUGUGAAAGUGCGUUGAGUCAUGGCGGUAAGGCUAGAAGCCAGUCGAUCUAUUCCUGAGCAAGAUGAAGGUGGGCGAAAGCCCACUGGAGGUCUGCAGCAGUUCUGACGUGCAAAUCGUUUGUGUGACUUGGGAAUAGGGGUCAAAAACCAAUCUAGACUGGCGCUUGCUAGUUCCAACCGAAGCGUCUCGUAGGGCGUGCUUUGUGGAGAUAGUAUUUCCGGUAGAGCACUGAUAGGGCGGCGCGGGGAAGAAAUUCCUCACCGCCCAUUCAAACUCCGAACGGAUAUACAUUGUAGAAGCAAGGACACGGGUUCGUGUGACGUAAGGUUCACGACCGAAAGGGGUUUAACCCAGACUGAAGUUAAGGUCCCCAAAUUUUUGCUAAGUGUCAAGCCAAAGUGCGUGUUCGCGCCAAGACAGCAGGGAGGUAAGCUCAGAAGCAGCUAUCCUUUAAAAAGUGUGUAACAACUUACCUGCCGAGCGAGGGCGCCACAAAAACGGACGGGGCUAAAGCAAAGUACCGAUACUUUGGAUAAGCAUCAUUAGAUGUUUCGUGGUAGGUUGGCGUAGUGAUUAGGACGAAGCAGGGCGGUGACGUCCUGUGGACUGAUUUCUAUUGCAGAUCCUGGCGGCAGUAACAGCAUAGUAUGGUGAGAACCCAUACCACCGAAAGCGCAAGGGUUUCCAGGCAAUGCGUUAUCAGCCUGGAGUUAGUCGAUCCUAAGGAUUACCUCAACAGAGUAAUUCGAAAGGGAAACUAGUUAACAUUCUAGUACCUUGCAGGGAGCGUUUGAGCUAUAUGAUUCGCUUCCGGAUAGAGUGAGUAUAACCAUCGUUGUAUCUAACUAUUCGAGAAUUGGGGAGUGUCGUAAUGACGAGAUCCAGUUCGAGAUGGGAAUGGCUUCGCGUUAGCAAAGUUCACUCGAUUCCAGGAGACCAUGAAAGAUUGUGUAGUUAGCAAACUGCAAGUUCGUACCCAGAUCCGACACAGGUGCGCUGGUUUAGUAAACUAAGGUGCUACGGGUAUACCGUAUGGCGAGGGAAUUCGGCAAAUUAGUCCUGUAGCUUAGGUAUAAGGGAUGCCUGCAAUUGUCAUGAGGAAUGGCGAUAGCAGGUUGCAAUGACAAGGGGGUUUCGACUGUUUAAUAAAAACACAGGCGACUGCUAGUCCGAAAGGAUUUGUAUAGUCGCUGAAUCCUGGCCGGUGCCGGUACCUAAAACUUGGGUUCAACCGAGCUAAGGGCCGGUUAACGCCGGGAGUAACUCUGACUCUCUUAAGGUAGCCAAAUGCCUUGUCGGGUAAGUUCCGACGCGCAUGAAUGGAACAACGAGAGCCCCACUGUCCCCGCCUACAACCCGGUGAAGCCACAUAAGGUGGACGAACAGUCCAUCAUCUUCCAUCGGGGAGAGAAGACCCCGUGGAGUUUUACUGCAGCUUGUGCUUGUAGUAUAGUAAGGAUUGCACAGAGUAUCUGGGAGUCUUUUCUUAACGUUCUCUGGGACGUUAAGGGACGCCGAUGUAACACCAGACAUUUUUUGCAGUACUUCUUACCUGGUGAAGACCAGGGACACGUGCAGGUGAGAUCGGAAGAGCACACGUCUGAACUCCACCUGCACGUGUCCCU
This 2298-nucleotide ribosomal RNA is filed under the name beach sand metagenome. RNAcentral describes it as "bacterial LSU rRNA". It matches the Rfam family "Archaeal large subunit ribosomal RNA", at positions 84 to 2380 of the family's 2987-position model. The record is from RNAcentral.